Molecule: ribosomal RNA, 329 nt
Filed under: uncultured eukaryote
Lineage: Eukaryota
Description: partial 18S ribosomal RNA
Rfam family: Eukaryotic small subunit ribosomal RNA
Source: RNAcentral
CCCUUAGAUGUUCUGGGCCGCACGCGCGCUACACUGAUGCAUUCAACGAGUCUAAAACCUGCUCUGAUAGGGGUGGGUAAUCUUUUGAAUGUGCAUCGUGAUUGGGAUAGAUGAUUGCAAUUUUUCAUCUUCAACGAGGAAUGCCUAGUAAACGCAAGUCAUCAGCUUGCAUUGAUUACGUCCCUGCCCUUUGUACACACCGCCCGUCGCUCCUACCGAUUGAAUGAUCCGAUGAAUAUCAUGGAUUGAGGAUGCAAGCAGGUGCGCCUGUCUUCAUCUUCGAGAAGUGAAGUAAAUCUUAUCAUUUAGAGGAAGGAGAAGUCGUAACA